GGACACUUGAAUCCAAGAGUUAUGCCUAACACUCAAUGACUGCAGCCCCUAUGCUCCACUACAUCUUCUCUUUCCUUCCUUCCUUCCUUCCUCCCUCCCUCUCUUCCUUCCUUCCUCCCUUCCUCCCUUCCUCUCCCCUUCCUUCCUUCCUUCCUUCCUUCUCUCUCUCUCUCUCUCUCUUUCUUUCUUUCUUUCUUUCUAGGCAGGCUCUGGCUCUGUUGUCCAGACUGGAGUGCAAUGGCAUGAUCUUGGCUCACUGCAACCUCUGCCUCCUGGGCUCAAGUCAUCCUCCCACCUCAGUCUCCCAAGAAGCUGGGACCACAGGCACACACCACCACGCCUGGAUAAUUUUUGUAUUUUUGUAGAGAUAGGGUUUUGCCAUGUUGGCCAGGCUGGUCUCAAAUUCAUGAGCUCAAGUAAUCCACCCACCUCAGCCUCCCAAAGUGCUGGGAUUACAGGCUUGAGCUGCUGCACCCGGCCUUCAACCUGUGCUAAUAUAAGAGGAUUCUGACCUUUUACUUUUCUGAUAGUUUCUCCUCGGAGAAGAGCUAACUGGUUAGAUUUCUUCUAAAAAUGUGCCCAGCAUCAAGCACAAUAAUCCAAUCAUGUUUCACCUCCCUUCAUGUUCCAUGAUUUUCCCACUUAGAGAGAAGUUGGAAGCAAAAUAGCAGCUGAGCAGUUGUACUUUCUUUUUCUUUUCUUAGCCCCCAUUGGUGGUCCUUUUUCCCAUUGGUUUUCUUUGAUCAUAUCUAAUUGAGGGCUUUUGAAGGCCCAUUGCUUUUUCAACAAGUUUCCAUUAUUUUGAGGUCCCAGUUUUCCUGAAACAAUUCAUUUCACUGCUCUUCAUUUGCAUUUGCGGUGGGUCAAAUAUUCUAUGUUCAUUUUUUACACGUCUCUUUUAUUCCUAAGCAUUUCAGAGGUCUUCUUGAUUCAAUGACAUUUUCUGCUUUGGGUAUCUUCACUCCUCAUUUCCUCAUUGGGAUAAUAUUUAUUUGUAGAAUCAGAGUUUUGGGGGUUUUCUUUAAGACCUUUUAAUGACUCGAGGUUUUUUUCUGUCUUGGACUUUCUAGGCAUGGGCUUAUACUUUAAUGUGUUUCAGAAAGUCUUGAAACCUGCUAUAUUAGUUAGGUUAGCUUGGGCUAUGCCCCACCCUAACACACAAGCCCCAAGUCAUACAACAGUACACAGAAGAGUGUGUUCUCCCUUCACUGUGGGUUUGGUCGGCUCCUCAAAGCCAUGUCCUCCAUACAGAGACUCAGGGACCCAGCUUCUUCCACCUUUUUUGCUCUGGCCAGAGACAUGUCAGAGUAAGGCAUGGCUUCUUCACCACCUCCACCUGAAAAUGACCCGUGCCAUUUCUGCCCACCCUUCCUUGGACAGACCUAGUCAUAUGGCCUCCCAAGUGCAAGGGGGCUGCCAGUACCAUUUUCUGAGUUCCAGAAUAAUGGGAAAGCUGCUGGUGGUGAGUACUCAUCUUGUCUACUCUGGUUCAUGUUUGACUACACCCAGAGUUCCCUCCUUUUACUAUUAUCCAACCUAAGAUGACAGGCCCCUUUCUCUCUAAAUGUUCAUGUUGGCACAUUUGCUUAAACCUGGGUUCUCAGUAGCAAGACCUUUUUUUGCUUCCCAAACACUCCUGAGAGUAGACUGCUGGCAUACCUUUCUGUUGAGCAAAUUAGGGCUUCCAGAGAUAUAUGGUUUGUUGCACUGCUCCAGCACUACCUCCCUUGUCCCUUUGCCAGAUGUGUUAUUUUUAGGGGACUCUGAAGCAGACUGCUCAACUCCUUCCAAAGGACUAUGGCCCUUACCUAUGCCCCAACUGGUAGCAGGGGCCCUGCCACCCAGGCAGACCCCCCAAUGCUGCAGCUCACCUGCCUUACCUGUCGAGCUCCAACAGCCCAGGAUUCCCAUCAAUAUGCCCCAAAUUAUUCUCUUGCCUUCACUGUGUACCAUUUUCCUGGCCCAUGAACAGACCUCACUGAACUGAUCUGACUACAAGUUUUACCUGCUUGACUGUACCACCUCCGUCAACGCUGGCUUUUGCAUCAUUUUUCCUAAAUGCCAACGCUUCUUGGGGUGCUGGCUGUGUUCUCAGCUCUCCUGCAUCAUGCAAGUCCUGAGUGUUCCUGCAGGACUCUCAGAAGCGUUAUCACUUGAGAAAAAGCUAGUAUCUCCUUGGGAUAGACUGAACGCUGCCUUCUCUAUACCUGAUGUGUAUAAUGUCACCUGGAAGAACAAAGCCAUCAGCCUGCAUUUCAACUAGACACCGGGGGUAGGAUCAGGGGUAGGACUUGGGGGACACCUUGUCAAAUAAUUUAAUUGGAUUCUUACAAAAAAGGAAUCAGAAUCUCCCGCUGAGUCUCUCUGUGGCUAUGGACUGGCCCUUUAGAAGUUUCUGCUUGGCUGAUUCAAGUUCUUUUCUUAUUUCUAGCACCCAGUCAGCAAAUUUGAAAAUGUACCAAAGACAAAAGAAAAGGAACCACUCCUGCUCUCCAAAAUCCUGUGAAGUCUUGUGAAGUACUAACUGCACUGUGGGCAAGGUGGCCUCAAAGAGCGAGGACUGGUCAAGUGUACUGUGCCAGAGAGAGUAAAUCAGACUUGGGGACACAUACGCUGGAUUUGAGAGUGGAGGGUUAAAGAAAGGAGGCCAUCUUGGAGAGCAACCGCGGCCUGGGAACAGGGUGAGAGCUGAGAGCAUGCAUCACAUUCCCAGUACCAGUUGUUGGAAGCCAUGAGCCAUCAGGAGACUUAGAACCAUCUGACCUUCAGGAUUGAUCACUAACCUGCGGAAGGAAGGGUGAUGUUCAAUGUUUGAAUUUUCCACCUUAUUGAAAUUAGACUUGUCUGCAACAUUGCUGAACUAAGAAUUAGUUAAUUCAUAUGAAACACCUCUCAUGAUGAUUAACAUAGGUGGUAGCCACUGCAGUUGAAGAUUAUCUGGAAGUUUACAUAUAAGAAGGAUCCAAGCAAAAAUUGUUCUAAAAUAUUUUUCAAUGUGGUCAUCCUUUUCCAUAGCUCCUGCUUAUUGACUGUGUGGCCUACAGGCUGCCCGUGUCCAUCUGGGGGUUGGGGGGACCCUGAUCUAAUCAACACGGACAGGACAGCCUGGGUCAAACUGGCUCUCUCUGAGGUGAUUGAAGGCUGCUGGACUCACACGUUCCGUGGCGCGAAGUCCAAGUGCACACGAGGGCAUAUGGGGCGCUAUGGACUGAAUGUUUGGGUCCCCCCCCAAAAUUCAUAUGUUGAAACGCUGCCCUCCAAUGGGAUGGUAUUGGGAGGUGGGCCUUGGGAGCUGAUUGGGGUGAGAUGAGGUCAUGAGGAAGACACCCCAUGAUGGGAUUAGUGUCCUUAUAAAAAGAGAAGGCACCUGGAGCUCUGUCUCAGCCCUAUGAGGGUGCAGCUAGAAAGCGGCCACCCACAGCCCAGGAAACGGGCUCUCCCCAGGCGUGGAAUCUGCUGGCACCUUGAUCCUGGACAUUGACCUCUGGAACUAAAGAAUACAUGUUUGUUGUUUAAGCCUCUAGUCUACAGUAAUUUGUUAUAGCAGCUGGAGCCUAUUAAGAUGUGGGAGGAGAGCCCUGAAGGAGUGGGACCUUAAGAAAGGGACAUGGUCAGCGUGGCUAGAGAGAGAGGCAGGAAACAGGUGAGAGAGGCCAGGGAGACUGGGGAAUUCUGAUUGCAGAAUACAUGAUUCUGCAAGACUGGCUCACUGGAAGAACUUCCACUUUAGCCCUAGAGGGAGAUGAGCUGUGAGUGGUUUGAGCAGGGGAACAUGAGUGACUGCAUUUUUAGGAGCUCAUGGUUGUUGCUUUCUUGAGGACAGCCUCCAGGGGGAAGGUUGGGACAGAAAGAAGCAGGCACAAGGCAGUUAUGAUAAACCAGGGCAAGGCACUGAGGGAAAAGGUGGGGCUCGGGAGGUGGGGAGAAGGUGCUCCUUUGAGACAGAGCUGGGAGAAUUUGCUGAGGAUUGAUGUGGAGAGGACCCCAGGCCCAAGGAUAUUGCUAUCAUCCACCAGGAUGGAGACGACAAGAGACAGGUUUAAGCCCACGUAGAACUGGAAGAAACCUUCUUUCCUUUUUUCCUUCCUCCUUUUCUCCCUCCUUCCCUCCUUCCCUCCCUCCUUCCCUUCCUUCCCUAUUUCCCCCCCUCCCUUCCUUCCUAUCUUUCUUUUUUCCGGGAUGAGAAAAGCGCCUGCUUGUUUGUGUCCUGACGGGGUGAUCCAGGAGAGGGGAAAUCCCGUGAUGCCCGAGAGGAAGAGGAGAGAAUUGCUGGAGGCCUGUCCUUGAGAUGGCAGGAAGGGAUGGGUUUAGUGCCCCAGAGGAUUUGGCCUUGGUUGGUUCAUGAACAGUUGGCACAAACAAUUCCUCUGCAGUAACAGGAGGGAAGGCCAAGUGUGGGUCUAGACACGGGGAGGUGGGUAGACGCAGACAUCCUUUGUUAAUUGGUUUUUCUCAGUGAAAAAGAAGGUUAGGUCAUCAGAUGAGAGUGAGGCUGGGAGAAGGGUUGAAAGUUUGGGGAGAGGGGAAUAGGAGUGACAUAGUCUCCUAGGAUAGGGGGACACUGAAGUGACCAGGUGAACACAAGAUUUCCAGGCAGCUUGGAGGGUCCUCCUGAGGUCAGUGGUCCUAAAUUCAAGUGCGGCCAGUAGACCAGGUAGGAGUUUUUCUCCAGUAUAAUCAGGUGCAAGGGUGCAGUGAGGGGCUGGUAGAGUUGGGUUUAAUUGGGUUUGGGGGCUUUCCAGGUUAACGUGACUGUGGGAGAAUGGACAAAAGUGCUGAAUGCAUAUGGAGGGGAAGGAUUAAAAUGGUGGGCUCUGGAAUCCAAGCUGGUGUGGAGGGAAUCAAGGAUGAAGAGGAAAGGAGGGACCAUUGCAAAUCUAGCAUCAGGGAGGUGUAGGUCCCAGGGAGAUCAAAUUAUUGUUGGGGUGGAGGUGCAUGGCCAGAAAACUGGAGGUGGGUUCAGGGAGUGGGAUGCUUGACAGAGAUUAUGAAGGGUCACAGUUAUGAUCAUGACACUGUCUAUGAUGUGAUGGAAAGUGGCUCCUGGUAUCCUGUGGGCAGCAGUAACCUGGAAGAGAGGAGGAAGCCACUGAAGGGCCAGGUAUUGGAGGGACCAUCAAUGUGGAUAUGCACACCGAUGCAUUAUAGCAGAAGCAGUGCUGGGGAGACAGACAGGGACCAGGUGCUAAGGUCUUUAGGGAAUGAGGCCGGUGGCCUCAGAGGAGACCUCUAAGGCUCAAGGUUGGUGCCACAGUCUACAGCAUAGGCCACACAGCUUUUUCUUUAGGCAGGGAUUAUGGGGGACAUGAUGAGGGCAGGAGAAAAAGUAUAAACAUUUGAAAAUGAUGGCAAGGAACAAACAGGACUAUCUCCUACUUCUAAGCCCAGGGAUAGAAUGGGUGUGAGCAAAAGACACCGACCCCUCAGCAGACAGAAGCACAAGUGGCCUCUCAGGGCAGCACCAGAUCCAUUCAGGCAAGCGACUGAAGGCAUUGCUCACAGCAGAUAUUUGUGAGCUGCAGAAAAUGACAAAUACAUAGUUUAUUAAUAUUUUCAACUGGAUUCCUAUGACAUUUAUUUUAAAUAACAUGUUUGCUAAGACAUAUGAACUUUUAAGACUCAUUUAUUUCUUACCUGUCCAUCAUUGUUCUUUCAGAAUUCAGACAUUUCAACUCUGGAACUGUUAUUAUCUGGCAAAUUGCAAUGCAUUAUAAUUGUUAUGCUCUUAUGCAGACCAGGCAGCUUUGCUCAAACAAUAGCUGGAUAGUGACAUUCCACGUUUCUAUUUAGUUUGUUUCAGCAGUUGUAAAACACAGGCAGCACUGCUGCCCCCAGGUGGUGUGCAGGAAAACUGCGUCUUCAUCUUCUAAGAAACACCUACCUGAGCGCCUUGUUGGUAUAGGCUGUCUGGCCUCAUCUUUUGAACUUGAUACAACUCAGUGGAAUGACUGUAAAGGCUACUAAAUGUAGUGUUUUACUGUAGCUGAUACACACAGGUAAUUAUUUAUUAAUUGACAACUCUAAGAAAAUGAAUACUCCUCUUCACACCCAGUGCCCCAAUACACAACCAUUGAUGUGUGUAUGAAGAUAAACAUGCAUACAUUUCCAAUUCCUAUGGUGUUUGAAGAAGAGAUGGAUUAGUGUGAAUAUUUAAGAAUUUUCAAUCUUCAGAACUUAAAAUGAGCAUGCAAAUAACCGUUAAGCAUGUGAAAUUAAAUAAAAACUUAAAAGAAUUCAAAUUUAAGCUGUUGGAACUUUAAAUUAUCCCGAGUCUUGAAAGGAAUGACUAUGCAGCCUGCAUCAAGCAUCAUGCAGCUGCAACUUCUGCCUUUCAUGUCACCAUACAUAAUUAAGACCAAAUGGUGCCAGAGAUAAGCCCCCCUCAGAUCACUACCCCUUCUCAUGGAGUAAUAAUUUUUUUUUUUUUUGAGACGGAGUCUCCUCGCUCUGUCACCAGACUGGAGUGCAGUGGUGUGAUCUCAGCUCACUGCAACCUCCACCUUCUGGGUUCAAGUGAUUCUCCUGCCUCGGCCUCCUGAGUAGCUGGGACUACAGGCACGCGCCAUCACGCCCAGCUAAUUUUUGUAUUUUUAGCAGAGAUGGGGUUUCACCAUUUUGGCCAGGAUGGUCUCGAUCUCUUGACCUCGUCAUUUGCCUGCCUUGACCUCCCAAAGUGCUGGGAUUACAGGCAUGAGGCACUGUGCCUGGCCGAGUAAUUUUUUUUUUUUUUUAGAAUGUAACAAUCUGUAAUCAAUCAGAUUGCUGUAGUGUAUGGAAAAUGUUGCAAUCCUGCUAAAAUUUCCAUAUAGAUGAACCCUUAACCUCUCCACUUUGGAACACUGACUCCAUUGGUUCAGUGUUUCGGGGUGGCCAUCCUUGAGCUUUGUACUCAAAUAAACUCUAUACUUAAUCAUA
Long non-coding RNA from Homo sapiens (human), 6915 nucleotides. RefSeq lists it as uncharacterized. The record is from RefSeq and is a predicted model, not a curated record. The transcript is spliced from 2 exons. NCBI's taxonomy places the organism in Eukaryota, Metazoa, Chordata, Mammalia, Primates, Hominidae.